GCUGGAGGUUGAAAGAGGCCGGGAGCAGAGUGGCACUUCCGUGAACGGUGCUCAGCCAGCCCGCUAGAUAGACGGUGACGGUGGAGGAGAAACUGAACAUCAGUAAGGGGCGCCCAAGAGGCUGAUGUGUGUUCAGGUAACCGGCCAGUCUGCCAGAUGUCCUCACCCAGCCCACAGCUAAAAGGACCGGUUAAGUGCGGAGGCUUCCAGGAAAAAAAAAAAAAAAAAAAAAAAAAAAGAUAAGGAUUCUCUUAAAUUUUCUCCUCCGGUAGAUUGUCCACCAAUUUAUGUUUGUCUAAUGUUUCUGUCGUUGUUAAAUAGGGGUUAUGGCUUUGGGGGAAGGAAGGCAGUAUAAGUGAAAUACCAUUUUCAUCACAUGAUAUGUCAGAGGUAAUGCUGUCAAUAUGACUUAUCACGAUGUUGUUAACCUUGAUUAACUAGCUGAUAGAAAGUGUUUAAAUACGGUUAAUAGAUUUAGAUUAAUUUAUUUAUAAGUUCAGCUUCUUAUUAGAAAUCAGAGUGGACAGGAACUAAUUUUUUCUUUAAUAUUAUAACCUUGAAGUUGCCUAAUAAUUGAUAAGAGUGUAUAUUAAUAAGCAUAUAUCUGGCCAUGAUUCCAGAAGGUAACCUUUGGGAUCUUUCCAGCUCAGUUUUCUUUUCUCUCACAAUUCUGGGUUAGAGAUGGCAAAUACUUUCCCUUACAAAUUUAAAGACUUUUUCCCUGCUGAAAUUACCUAGGUUUCUUUUUAAGCCAUCUUUUUUCUCAGCCAAGUGAUUUCACAUAAUUGAUUAAUUAUUCCAUUCAGGCUCAAGUAUCUGUGUGUGACUUUGCAGGCUAGAGAAGCCUGUAAAUAAUGACUUCAGUCAGCAUCUAGUUCUUACUUCGUUUGCAGAAAAGCUAGCUCUGUUCUUGCUCAAUUUUUAGAAAAAGGUCCGAGCUUGGGAGAUACGAUUGCUGUUAAUCCAGAUAAAGCAAAUCCCAGGCCCAUCCUUCAGGUUUGUAGGGAACCUCUGGGGCACUGAGCUUUUCACUGACAUAAAUUAAUAAACUGCCAUGGGCCACGGAAAAGAUAAAAGAAAAUAUACAAGCUUCAGUUGCUUGCUAGAAGCUUACAACAUGACUAUUCAUCUCCUUAACAAAGAACCAUGAAGUAUUUGGGAAAAGAAAGGCUACACUUAAACUAUUCCUUGUAGAAGAGGUAAAACUUGAUGUGAUAUUGCUUCCAUAGUGUGGGGACGCAACUGCUGGGCUAGGCUUGGUUAGAUUUGGCUUAGUAUUAACUGCUCCCCUGUCACUUAAGGAUAUUAUUCUUCUUUCCUCUCCUCUCCUCUCAUUCCUUUUUCCCUCCUCCCUCCUCUCCACUCUCUUUUCUCCUCAGAGAAAGAAACCAACUCUGAGUUUUUCUUUUCUUUUCUUUUUCAGCUGCACCCAUGGCACAUGGAAGUUCCCAGGCCAGGGAUUGAUUCUGAGCUGCAGCUGCAACCUACACCACAGCUGUGGCAACACUGGAUCUUUAACCCACUGCAUCAUAGUGGGAAUUCCCCAACUCUUAUUUGAAUAUUUUCAGAAUAUUGGAAGAAUUCAUGGAAUUAAGAAGAGGGCUUCUGCCAGCCUCAGGAAGAAACUGAUCUUCAAUCUCUAAAAUGCUGCCAGAGGAUGACUCUGUGCCAUGGUUCAUUUCAUAUGGCCACCUGGCUAGGCCACAGUACCCAGAUAUUUGCUCAAACAUUAUUCGAGAUGAUUCUGUGAAUAUCUUUUUAAAAUGAGAUUACCCUUUAAAUCCCUAGACUUUGAGUAAAGCAGGUUACCCUCCACAAUGUGAGUAGGCCUCAUCCAACCAAUUGAAGGCCUUAAUAGAAAAAAGACUGAUCUCCCAGCUGAAAGGGAAUCCUGCCAGCAGACCUCCUUCAAACUUGAACUGCAGUUCUUCCCUGGGUCUCCAGCCUGCUGUCCUACCCUGCAGACUUGUCAGCCCCCUUAAUUUCAUAAGCCAAUUCCUUAAAACAAAUUCUUCUGUCUCUCUCACUCUCAGACUACCCAGAUAGACAUGAAUAUGCAUAUGGUUGUGGAUAUAGAUAUAGAUGUAUUUCCUAUUGGUUCUCUUUCUCUGGAGAACCCUGACUGAUACACUAGCUCCAAAACUUUCGUUCAUUUGGCUCUCCAUUCAAGAUCCAAUGCAGAGAACAUGAAAUAUCCUUGGCCCUCAAACUAUUUGAAUUCAAGUGCUGUGCUCUUGUUGGCUGAAAAAAAAAAGCACAUGGUAAGCGUUGUUAGUUUCAGUUUUAUUCAGGGACCUUACUGAGGACAGUAAGGGAAACAGCCUCUCAGUUGCUCUGAUGGGACUGAUCUGAACAGAUGGGAGGGAGCCCAUACAUACAUGAUUUUGGCUCAAGAAUACCUACAGUCAAGUACACAUCUCAGUAGUACUUGAAUGCAGUUAUUCCUGAGCCAAAAAUGAGCCAAAGGAUGUAAGAAUGUGGGUUCAUUAAAAUUCUUCCUAAAAUAAGGAAGACCUCUUCCUUUGAGGGGUCUGUUUUUCUAAAGCUCAGGGUGCCUAAUCCUGUUUUUUGUUUUUUUUUUUUUCUUUCAGGGUGCAUCUUUGGUCAGCGACUUCAGUGACUAAUAAUUAGACCCUUGUAAAGCUGGACGAUGGGCAGCACUCUAUUUUUUUUUUUUAAUUUUUUACCGGCCCCCCUUUUGGUUAUACAUUCAACCAAGAUUUGGGAGGCAUUUCAUGAUCGAUUUGUCUCAUGGGACUAGGAAAUCUCAUUUCUAGGUCAUGAGAGGAUUCUAUGGAUAGGCCACUCAAUUUCUAGGCCCUGUUGAUAGUCACAGUAAACGUUUCUGAACCACAUGUCCUACUAGUCUAUUAUGGUCCAUGAAAGGAUUCUUCCUUGUUGUUCUUCCCAUAUCUAGAAGUAUACUAUUACAAUCAUUUAACUCUUAUGUAGAACUACAUAUUUGGUCAAUCAUUUCAAGUUGUUUAGUCAUCCCUAAUUUUUUCAGAAACUGUUAUACAUUGAAUAAUACAAAAAACGACAAUCUUUUAAAAUAGACAAAAUACAGGUAAUAGGACUAGUAUCAUUAAAGUUAUAAGCAAGAAUUUAAGCCAAGAAUUUCCAUUACCAAACCAGUUCUUUAAGAGACCACCAAGACAAAGGAAUGGAUCAUUAGACAGAAAUCUGGUUUUUCAUGGGGUCAUUAAAUGUAUCACAUUAAAGGAUUAAUCUGGCGUAAAGACAAAACGUUCAGUUUGAAUUAGGGUGAAGGUGCCUCCUUGAAAUGCAAAGGCCAUGUGACAUUGUAAUAGUGCUUUUUUUCCUCAUGGAAACAUCAGAAUUCAGUAGCAUAAUGUGCUGACAGCUAUAUCAUUUAAGGUUUGCUGAGUGAAUUUUGUUAAGGAUUCAAUGUGGGUGAUUAUAUUUUCCAAUCUUACUGGAGGUGCAAAGAAUGCUGCUACAUGGUCAUACCAAUAAAAUAUCAAUGAUUCAUUGGCCUCAUACCAAUGGUAAUUUUGCUGGAAUCAUCUAAUUUUGCACCCAAGUGGUCUUGAGCCCAAGGGAAUCCUAGGGUCCGUCUUCUUGUCUAUCCUGGAUAGUUUUCAUUUUAAAACUUAGUCAUGAGUCAGGUAUUACAAUAUAAAACUCACUAGUUUAUAAAUAACAGUUGGAAUAAACUGUCUACUUAUUUGAGUUUAAAAAGACCUCUUCUGGAGUUCCCACUGUAGCAGGUUAAGUAUCCCUCACAGUCUCUGAAGUGGCAUGGGUUAAAUCCCUGGCCUGGUGCAGUGGGUUAAAGAUCUGUUGUUGCUGCAGUUGUGGCAUAGGUUGCAACUAUAGCUCAGAUCUGAUCCCUUGCCUGGGAACUUUCACGUGCUGUGGGCAUGGCCAAUAAAGAAAAAAAAAGACGUCCUUUUUUUUCUCACAGUGUCAGGCAUUGGAGAUAGUCUAGCUAAGAGCUGCUGGGAGCCCUAGUAAAACAUUUAUAUCUGAAUUCCUCCCAGGGUGCUCUGUCACUCUGUGACUGCAGUGGCUAACGUCUUGAUCCUUGUAGAACUGGAUAGUGGGCAACAUUAUUUGCUUUACACUCCAGAUGACCUUUCUGGGUGCUGACAUAUGAGUGGAAGUGGAGGGAACAUUUACAACCUAGUGAGCUAAAUAAAUGGGGAGUGCUGUUAACUGACUAAUCAAGCUGAGAUCUCAAGUAACAUGGAU
RNAcentral lists this long non-coding RNA (4215 nucleotides) under Sus scrofa (pig). RNAcentral describes it as "lncRNA (ENSSSCG00060011503.1)". Lineage: Eukaryota; Metazoa; Chordata; Mammalia; Artiodactyla; Suidae. The record is from RNAcentral.